Syzygium oleosum is the source of this 1637-nucleotide long non-coding RNA. RefSeq lists it as uncharacterized. The transcript is spliced from 3 exons. Lineage: Eukaryota; Viridiplantae; Streptophyta; Magnoliopsida; Myrtales; Myrtaceae. The record is from RefSeq and is a predicted model, not a curated record.
GCAGGAGUAUCUGCGCACGGUAUUGACCAAGUCAUUGCCCCAUCGGGGAAGCUAGGGCAGUGCGCUAUGUACGAGAGACGACCUCUAUCGACUCAAUGGAGGUUCUUUGGUUAUCUUUGGAAGAUAAUAUUGUAUAUUUCAGUAAGUUUUGAAAAAUAUUCUUGUUUCUCUUUAUAUGUCUCUUCUUUCUUUGAUGGGUUAUACACGUAAGUUAUUCUUUCUGUUAUAUUUCAGGAUGAUAGCCAUUGGAGCCUAUUGCAUCGAGUUUUGUACUCCGAAGGGCGAAAUUAUCUUUAAGGACGACCUAGUUAUCAAUCUCCAGCAAGUCUUCUCUCACCGCAAGGAGGAUGAUUUUGGUGAUUCCGCCUAGCCGAUUGAGCCUUCCAAUUCGGACUUCGUCCCGGGCAGUGCUAACACUGACGAUUGCUCGGAGCCAAUUGUCCUGUUCACCAACAAACAGAAUCGAGUUCCUCGGCCUCGCUUAACCUCGUCAAAGCUCUCGUCCGCAAAGGCCUCUGCAAUGUCCAUAUCUACGUUCCUCAAUCUAUACCAUCUCUAUUCGGGUUCACAAGCAGAUGACUCAUUGUCCUGUUCAUAUCAAAUUUUAAAUUUUAUGUUACAUUUAUCUUCUUAGAUCUUGCUGGAUAGAGGAGGUUGUUAAACAGCCUCGUAACAAAUUCAUAAUUCCUCAAAUAAAUAUCUCAUUUGAAUUGUGCGAGUGGUAAAAUACAUUGUUACUCUUACUUAAGUCAAUAAUCUUUUCGUUUCAUUACUGAUGGCUGAAGAUGUAUAAGGAAAGCUUAAUGGGCUUUUGUAACUAUGCUUGAAGGUAAAGAGUUUAUAAAUUGCAUGUCCAGGCCCCAUUUGACCUUGGGGAGAUGUCUAGGGUUUUUCCCAAUAGCAUGUGUGUUACUAAUUUCUUACUUUCUACUGAAUUAGAAAUAUGUUUCUUGACCUGUGACUAAUGAAAAGCUUGAGUUUUACAAAGCUAUCCUUGGAAAACCUUGAAAAUUUUUAGUGUUAAGAUUGGUCUAUUGAUUGGGGUGUCAUACCUUCGUGGAUAGUUGUACGCAUUUGCUGCUCAUCAGUUGUUACUCACGCUAUUCCGAGUGAAUUCCUUAUACUCUGUUUUAGCAAGGUGAAGGCUGAGAGCUCUUAAUUCUGUUGUCGUGAAAAUUGAUCUCACCUGAGGCUAUCUGAAGAAUCUUGAAUGUGCUUUGUUGUUUUGUUUCAUAUUGGCUGUGAAUCCUCGUGUCCCCAUUGCAUCUAGAUUCCUUGGCCGGGAUACCUAUCAUCUGUUUGAUAAAAUUCCUGAGCGUCAGUUUAUAUCUCAUAUGUUUCAGUUUUGAUUGGUAUGUAAUGAACUUGCCUCAUUGGUUCAGUAAUUUUCACUUCAAUAUUGGCCAUGAGAUCCAUGGCGGGGAAUUGGCGUGUUCUUGUUUUUUUACAUCCAUUAUUUGACUCAAACUUAUGAACCUACGGUCAAUACUCACUGGAACAAAGCUUAUAUUGAUGAUCGUGAUUAUGUUCUACCAUAACUUGACUUUGAUUAGCGGUCAUUCCAUUUGCAACAAUUUUGUGUAAUUGAUGUGAACGAGUUAAGUAGGGGCAUAUAUCAAAGUGAGGAACUACAUGUA